RNAcentral lists this ribosomal RNA (256 nucleotides) under uncultured bacterium. RNAcentral describes it as "partial 16S ribosomal RNA". It matches the Rfam family "Bacterial small subunit ribosomal RNA", at positions 524 to 776 of the family's 1533-position model. The record is from RNAcentral.
UACGUAGGGGGGCAAGCGUUGUCCGGAUUUAUUGGGCGUAAAGAGCGUGUAGGCGGCCACACAGGUCUGCUGUGAAAAACUCGAGGCUCAACCUCGAGCUGUCGGUGGAAACCGUGUGGCUAGAGUCCGGAAGAGGAGAGUGGAAUUCCCGGUGUAGCGGUGAAAUGCGCAGAUAUCGGGAAGAACACCCCGUGGCGAAGGCGGCUCUCUGGUACGUGACUGACGCUGAGGAGCGAAAGCGUGGGGAGCAAACAGG